RNAcentral lists this ribosomal RNA (485 nucleotides) under uncultured bacterium. RNAcentral's name for it is "bacterial SSU rRNA". It matches the Rfam family "Bacterial small subunit ribosomal RNA", at positions 28 to 509 of the family's 1533-position model. The record is from RNAcentral.
GACUAACGCUGGCGGCGUGCCUAAUACAUGCAAGUCGAACGGGAUUCUUUGAUCAGCUUGCUGAGAGAAGGAUCUAGUGGCGGACGGGUGAGUAACGCGUGGGAAUCUGCCUCUUACUGGGGGAUAACAGUGGGAAACUACUGCUAAUACCGCAUAAGAUCUUCGGAUGAAAGGUGCAACUGCACCGGUAAGAGAUGAGCCCGCGUCCCAUUAGCUAGUUGGUGAGGUAAAGGCUCACCAAGGCGACGAUGGGUAGCCGGCCUGAGAGGGUGAACGGCCACACUGGGACUGAGACACGGCCCAGACUCCUACGGGAGGCAGCAGUAGGGAAUCUUCCGCAAUGGGCGCAAGCCUGACGGAGCGACGCCGCGUGAGUGAUGAAGGCCUUGGUCGUAAAGCUCUGUUCUUGAGGACGAAUAAGCCAGGGAGUGGAAAGCCCUGGUGAUGACUGUACUCAAGGAGAAAGCUCCGGCUAACUACGUGCC